Long non-coding RNA from Pseudophryne corroboree (corroboree frog), 280 nucleotides. RefSeq lists it as uncharacterized. The record is from RefSeq and is a predicted model, not a curated record. Lineage: Eukaryota; Metazoa; Chordata; Amphibia; Anura; Myobatrachidae. The transcript is spliced from 3 exons.
CAUGCUCUUCUGGCCUGUGGGGAUCAGCAGCAGCCUCAUGGGAGUGACUCUGAUGCUGUGCCUGCUGUUUGAGAUGAAAACAUGACAUAUCAGAUUAGCGGGAAAUCCAUCAUCCACAACAACAGCAAGGCAGGAAUGUAAACACAGAUUCCCAUCUCCCAUCAAUUACCUACAGCCACGUGGUGUGACUUCCAUUUACUGCGAGACCUGUGAUAUCACCACGCAGUGCGGGAUCCUGCUGGAGAAAUGGUGCCAUGGACGGUCUGGUGGAAGAUGUAUA